Molecule: ribosomal RNA, 545 nt
Filed under: uncultured bacterium
Lineage: Bacteria
Description: bacterial SSU rRNA
Rfam family: Bacterial small subunit ribosomal RNA
Source: RNAcentral
AAAGAGGGGGACCCUAGGACCUCAUGCUCUUGGAGCGGCCCAGAUGUGAUUAGCUAGUUGGUGGGGUAAAGGCUUACCAAGGCUACGAUCAGUAGCUGGUCUGAGAGGAUGACCAGCCACACUGGAACUGAGACACGGUCCAGACUCCUACGGGAGGCAGCAGUGGGGAAUUUUGCACAAUGGGCGCAAGCCUGAUCCAGCCAUGCCGCGUGAAUGAAGAAGGCCUUCGGGUUGUAAAGUUCUUUCGUCAGGGAAGAAGCGAUGAAAGUUAAUAUCUGUGGUUAAUGACGGUACCUGAAGAAUAAGCACCGGCUAACUCCGUGCCAGCAGCCGCGGUAAUACGUAGGGUGCAAGCGUUAAUCGGAAUUACUGGGCGUAAAGCGCGCGCAGGCGGUUUUGUAAGUCAGUUGUGAAAUCCCCGGGCUCAACCUGGGAAUUGCGUUGGAGACUUUAGGGUUUGAUUCUGGCUGAGGGGGGUAGAAUUCCACGUGUAGCAGUGAAAUGCGUAGAGAUGUGGAGGAACACCGAUGGCGAAGGCAGCCCCC